CUUAAAGAGGGUAAACAACAGCAGGAAGCCAGUAUGAGCCGGUGGCCUGAGAUGACGGCGGAAGUUCACCAAGGCUGCGAUAACGAGUAAUUAACAAAAGAAAUCGAAGGAUCUUAAUAUAGCUAAGAAAAUCAAUUAAACAGUCUUUUAUUUUCGGAAAAUUAGAGAGGGGCACCACGGAGCAGAAGUUGGUGGGGUUUAAGCCGCUGUGUAUAAAAACCCUUCUUCAACUCAACUUUGGGCUUCA
Molecule: long non-coding RNA, 247 nt
Filed under: Theobroma cacao (cacao)
Lineage: Eukaryota; Viridiplantae; Streptophyta; Magnoliopsida; Malvales; Malvaceae
Description: long non-coding RNA (TCAC_LNC000584)
Source: RNAcentral